GAUGAACGCUGGCGGCGUGCUUAACACAUGCAAGUCGAACGGAAAGGCCACAGCUUGCUGUGGUACUCGAGUGGCGAACGGGUGAGUAACACGUGGGUGAUCUGCCCCGUACUUCGGGAUAAGCUUGGGAAACUGGGUCUAAUACCGGAUAGGAAUCACAUGUGGGUGUGUGGUUGGAAAGCUUUUGCGGUAUGGGAUGAGCUCGCGGCCUAUCAGCUUGUUGGUGGGGUAAUGGCCUACCAAGGCGUCGACGGGUAGCCGGCCUGAGAGGGUGUACGGCCACAUUGGGACUGAGAUACGGCCCAGACUCCUACGGGAGGCAGCAGUGGGGAAUAUUGCACAAUGGGCGCAAGCCUGAUGCAGCGACGCCGCGUGGGGGAUGACGGCCUUCGGGUUGUAAACUCCUUUCGUCAGGGACGAAGCGAAAGUGACGGUACCUGGAGAAGAAGCACCGGCUAACUACGUG
This 466-nucleotide ribosomal RNA is filed under the name uncultured bacterium. RNAcentral describes it as "partial 16S ribosomal RNA". It matches the Rfam family "Bacterial small subunit ribosomal RNA", at positions 28 to 507 of the family's 1533-position model. The record is from RNAcentral.